This 1000-nucleotide long non-coding RNA is filed under the name Piliocolobus tephrosceles (Ugandan red Colobus). Its description in RNAcentral is "lncRNA (ENSPTEG00000004774.1)". Lineage: Eukaryota; Metazoa; Chordata; Mammalia; Primates; Cercopithecidae. The record is from RNAcentral.
AUGUCGCGGCGGAGGCUCGGGGUGGGGUGGGGGCGCGCGGCCGCCGCAGACCAGGUGUCUACGAGCCGCAAGACACCCCACUUUCGUUUCAAUUACAUGGACAUCUCCCUUAGCCGCCUCUCACCCCACUUCUGGGCGCAGCGUGCUAAGCCUCCGCAGAGGGGCUGGCGCCUCGGGGGGCGUGGCGUGGGGGGCGUGGGCUCUCCAGCUGGGGCCCCUCGGGGGGUGGAGGCGGGGCCGAGACCCCCGCCCGACGUUGGUGGGGGUCGGGAAUGGGCGAGCCUGUCCGGCGGCCGACCCAGUUGCUCCAGCCGCCGGACGGAAGAACGGUCGGCGCUGCGGAAGGUCGAGGGUCGUGCACCGCCGGCGCUGGGCGCCCGCCCCGCAGUCUCCGCCCUGCAGGCGGCGGCCUCUCUCCCGGCCGCAGAGCCGGCGCGGCGCGUGUGGGCGUCGAUCUCCGCGCGCACCGGCGCCCCACCCUCGUGCCGCGACGAGCUCCUGCCCGACGCUGAUAAGGACCCGGCUGGGGCUCCGCGCGGCCCGCGGGGCCGCCCUCUCGGGUUCAGUUUGCUGCCCCCAGCGCGGCUUCCGGGGGUUUCCAGCUGGUGGCUUGUUGGCAUUCUUCCUCCGUUCUCUGGUGUUGGUCUCGGACGUCUGUGAAUGUUUACAUUGUGCUGCAGAUUGAAGGCGCUGACUGGGAACGCGUUGUCCUGGGUUCUUUCACUACUGCCUGGAAUACGGGCAGAUGGAACACAGACGACGGAACUCACAGAAGAGUUGGACGGUCCGGCUCUGGCCCGACUGUGUAGUUGUACCGACUGACAUUCUGUGUUUAAUAAUCAAGAAAAGUUUUGAAAGAUAAGUGGUGGUGGAGGAGCCUUUUCCUGAAUUAGUGUAGUGAGAGUAAGAAUUCCAGUUUAGAAUUGUCCAUACUUUCCCCAUCCUUUUCUUCUCUCCCAAAUGCAAUAAAAUAGGGCUGUGUGUUUCUCUACGUCUGCUC